This is a small nucleolar RNA of Terrapene triunguis (Three-toed box turtle), 213 nucleotides long. Its record names the gene SNORA73. It matches the Rfam family "Small nucleolar RNA SNORA73 family". Rfam says of the family: U17 (SNORA73A and SNORA73B) also known as E1 belongs to the H/ACA class of small nucleolar RNAs (snoRNAs). Vertebrate U17 is intron-encoded and ranges in length from 200-230 nucleotides, longer than most snoRNAs. Lineage: Eukaryota; Metazoa; Chordata; Testudines; Emydidae. The record is from Ensembl.
CCAAUAUGGUCAUCCAUUGAGGUUACUCAUGGCUCUGUCCAAGUGGUGUAUAUGGGAGCAUAGCCCUAAGUGCAGUGAUAUACAAUCCCUUCCACAGUGUUGAAGAGCAAGCCUGUCUCUGGUUCUAGAGCUGAUGAGAACAGCAUUCUAUAUAUUUUUAUAACUUCUCAGUCUCUAGACAAUUACUGAGGAGAAACCGUGCAGGUUACAACU